Molecule: ribosomal RNA, 426 nt
Filed under: uncultured bacterium
Lineage: Bacteria
Description: bacterial SSU rRNA
Rfam family: Bacterial small subunit ribosomal RNA
Source: RNAcentral
GGGGAAUCUUGCGCAAUGGACGAAAGUCUGACGCAGCGACGCCGCGUGGGUGAAGAAGGCCUUCGGGUUGUAAAGCCCUGUCGAGUGGGACAAAUAUCCCAGGCAAUAAUACGGCCUGGGCUUGAUGGUACCACUAAAGGAAGCACCGGCUAACUCUGUGCCAGCAGCCGCGGUAAUACAGAGGGUGCAAGCGUUGUUCGGAAUUAUUGGGCGUAAAGGGCAGGUAGGUGGUCUUAAAAGUCUACUGUGAAAUCCCUGGGCUUAACCCAGGAAGUGCGGUGGAUACUCUAAGACUUGAGUGCCGGAGGGGUGCGUGGAAUUCCGAGUGUAGCGGUGAAAUGCGUAGAUAUUCGGAGGAACACCAGAGGCGAAAGCGGCGCACUGGACGGCAACUGACACUCAACUGCGAAAGCGUGGGGAGCAAAC